RNAcentral lists this ribosomal RNA (775 nucleotides) under uncultured Neocallimastigales. RNAcentral's name for it is "partial large subunit ribosomal RNA". It matches the Rfam family "Eukaryotic large subunit ribosomal RNA", at positions 24 to 616 of the family's 3401-position model. The record is from RNAcentral. Lineage: Eukaryota; Fungi; Neocallimastigomycota; Neocallimastigomycetes; Neocallimastigales.
GUAGUCUCGCACAGAUGCAUAUCAAUAAGCGGAGGAAAAGAAACUAACAAGGAUUCCCUUAGUAACGGCGAGUGAAGCGGGAAGAGCUCAAAUUUGAAAUCUUCAAGGUUUUACCUUGACGAAUUGUAGUUUAAAGAAGUGUUUUCUGUUGAAGUUUUGGUAAAAGUUCUUUGGAAUAGGACAUCAUAGAGGGUGAGAAUCCCGUAUUUGACCAUUAUUUUCAGCUGUGUGAUACACUUUCAAAGAGUCGGAUUGUUUGGGAAUGCAGUCCAAAAUGGGGUGGUAAAUUUCAUCUAAAGCUAAAUAUUGGCGAGAGACCGAUAGCGAACAAGUACCGUGAGGGAAAGAUGAAAAGAACUUUGAAAAGAGAGUUAAACAGUACGUGAAAUUGUCAAAAGGGAAGCGUUUGACACCAGUGUUGUUUUCUCGAAAAUCAAUUAAAAAGAGUUAGAUUUUGUUGUGUAUUGACCUUAACAGCUUGCAUUUCAAUUUUCUUGCUUUUUUUAAUGCACUUUUCGUUUAACAAGUCAACAUCAGUUUCUUUUGUUGUAAAAAGGUCAUUGGAAGGUGGCUUUCUUUUCGGAGAAAGUGUUUAUAGCCUUUGACUCCUGCAAUCGGAGAGACUGAGGUCUGCAGCGUAGAUCCUUCGGGGUUAGAUACAUUUGUGCUAAGUUAUAGCUUUUUAUAGACAACUUGUUGACUAUGAUUAGUCUUGUAGCUUACUCGCUUAUGCUAUUUUACCUACGCUUAGGAUGUUGAGCGCAUGUCUCUCUCU